This 400-nucleotide unclassified non-coding RNA is filed under the name Papenfussiella kuromo. Its description in RNAcentral is "partial ITS1". The record is from RNAcentral. Lineage: Eukaryota; Phaeophyceae; Ectocarpales; Chordariaceae.
CCGAAGGUUGGCCUGGGUAAAGUAACGCCAACGAAAAAAACUUGCCCGCCCGUCGUUUCCUUGGCGACGUGUCCCGUGACUCUGUGCGCCAGUCCGCGUGUUUAAAGCCUCAGUUCGUCGUCUUCCAAGAGAAGCGGUGCCGACACACGCGGGUGCCUAAGCAAGCAGGGUCGUCUGGGGGCACGCGCCAUCGUCUGAAAACACUUCGCAGAACCCCGUGAAAGAAAAAAGCAUUAUGCGAUGUCGGGCGAGAGGCGUCUCGCCGAGUUUGCCAAAAGCUCGAAACAAAGCGCACCCCACACUUCAACCCCAAACAAACUCUGAAUCUGAACUCAAAAGGAGGCUGGACCUCCCCUCGAAAGAGAAGAGAGGAGGAAUGCCUCCUCAACCUUUUAACGUU